RNAcentral lists this ribosomal RNA (552 nucleotides) under Bipolaris tetramera. RNAcentral describes it as "eukaryotic LSU rRNA". The stretch from base 183 to 336 matches the Rfam family "5.8S ribosomal RNA". Lineage: Eukaryota; Fungi; Ascomycota; Dothideomycetes; Pleosporales; Pleosporaceae. The record is from RNAcentral.
AACCUGCGGAGGGAUCAUUACACAAUAAAAUACGAAGGCCGUUCGCGGCUGGACUAUUUAUUACCCUUGUCUUUUGCGCACUUGUUGUUUCCUGGGCGGGUUCGCUCGCCACCAGGACCACAAUAUAAACCUUUUUUAUGCAGUUGCAAUCAGCGUCAGUAUAACAAAUGUAAAUCAUUUACAACUUUCAACAACGGAUCUCUUGGUUCUGGCAUCGAUGAAGAACGCAGCGAAAUGCGAUACGUAGUGUGAAUUGCAGAAUUCAGUGAAUCAUCGAAUCUUUGAACGCACAUUGCGCCCUUUGGUAUUCCAAAGGGCAUGCCUGUUCGAGCGUCAUUUGUACCCUCAAGCUUUGCUUGGUGUUGGGCGUUUUUGUCUUUGGCCCGCCAAAGACUCGCCUUAAAAUGAUUGGCAGCCGGCCUACUGGUUUCGCAGCGCAGCACAUUUUUGCGCUUGCAAUCAGCAAAAGAGGACGGCAAUCCAUCAAGACUCCUUCUCACGUUUGACCUCGGAUCAGGUAGGGAUACCCGCUGAACUUAAGCAUAUCAAUAA